UCGGCGUCGCGGCGUGGCCACCAGCCCCCGGAUCCGAGUUGGGAGAGGUGCCAAAGGUUCCUCUGAAGGCGAAUUCCAACCUGGAAGAGGGCAUUGUGGGCAUGGACGAGGAGGGGUAGGAAUGGUGGUGAGAGCCACAGCAGUCCAUCCAACGGGUCAUAACAGGAAUUCGGGGAAUAGUGGACAUGUCCUAAACACACACAUAGGAGGUUUAGGCAACUGACCGGGAAUCUUGGAAAAGUCAAUGUCAUGAAAGAGAAGAGGAAGGAGCAGCAGAGGUGCUGCUGUAGAUAAGAAGACACUUGAGAGACCCAAUUAAACAGCAGAAACAACCAAACACACGUGUCCAGUGAGCGAGCGCUCCUGCCGGCUGCACUUAGAUGUUAUAAAUUAAUGCUGAAACAAUGGAGGCACGUUCAUUUGUCAUGCUUUACUGAUCGCCUGAAAUAUUGAUUAUUA
This 459-nucleotide long non-coding RNA is filed under the name Ictidomys tridecemlineatus (thirteen-lined ground squirrel). RNAcentral's name for it is "lncRNA (ENSSTOG00000034634.1)". The record is from RNAcentral. Lineage: Eukaryota; Metazoa; Chordata; Mammalia; Rodentia; Sciuridae.